RNAcentral lists this ribosomal RNA (200 nucleotides) under uncultured Lactobacillus sp. Its description in RNAcentral is "partial 16S ribosomal RNA". It matches the Rfam family "Bacterial small subunit ribosomal RNA", at positions 162 to 355 of the family's 1533-position model. The record is from RNAcentral. Lineage: Bacteria; Bacillati; Bacillota; Bacilli; Lactobacillales; Lactobacillaceae.
GCUAAUACCGGAUAACAACAGAUGAUGCCUAUCAACNGUUUAAAAGAUGGUUCUGCUAUCACUCUUGGAUGGACCUGCGGUGCAUUAGCUAGUUGGUAGGGUAACGGCCUACCAAGGCGAUGAUGCAUAGCCGAGUUGAGAGACUGAUCGGCCACAUUGGGACUGAGACACGGCCCAAACUCCUACGGGAGGCAGCAGUA